CGAGCACGCGCGUGUGGCAUAUCAAUAAGCGGAGGAAAAGAAACUAACAAGGAUUCCCCUAGUAACGGCGAGUGAAGCGGGAAGAGCUCAAAUUUGAAAUCUUAAAGGGUUUCCCUUGACGAAUUGUAGUUUAUAGAAGUGUUUUCUGUUAGUGGAGUUCGGUAAAAGUUCUUUGGAAUAGGACAUCAUAGAGGGUGAGAAUCCCGUAUUUGGUCAUUCCUCCUAGCGUUGUGAUACACUUUCAACGAGUCGGAUUGUUUGGGAAUGCAGUCCAAAAUGGGUGGUAAAUUUCAUCUAAAGCUAAAUAUUGGCGAGAGACCGAUAGCGAACAAGUACCGUGAGGGAAAGAUGAAAAGAACUUUGAAAAGAGAGUUAAACAGUACGUGAAAUUGUCAAAAGGGAAGCGUUUGACACCAGUGUUGUUUAGUUGAAAAUCAAUUUAAUAGUUUUUGAUUUUAAGUAGUAUUGACUUCAUCAGCUUGCUGCUUUUUUCUCAGAAAAUUAUUGAAUGCACUUUUCAGUUAACAAGUCAACAUCAAUUUCUUUUGUUGUAAAAGGGUAAGAGGAAGGUGGCUUGCGCUUCGGCUCAAGUGUUUAUAGCCUUUUAUCUUCUGCAAUCGGAGAGAUUGAGGUCUGCAGCGUAGACUCUUCGGGGUUAGAUACAUUGAGUGCUAAGCUAUAGCCUUGUAUAGACAACUUGUUGACUAUGCUCAGUCAUGUAGCUUACUCGUAGAUGCUAUUUUACCUACGCUUAGGAUGUUGAACUCUAUCACACACAG
RNAcentral lists this ribosomal RNA (779 nucleotides) under uncultured Neocallimastigales. RNAcentral describes it as "partial large subunit ribosomal RNA". It matches the Rfam family "Eukaryotic large subunit ribosomal RNA", at positions 19 to 625 of the family's 3401-position model. Lineage: Eukaryota; Fungi; Neocallimastigomycota; Neocallimastigomycetes; Neocallimastigales. The record is from RNAcentral.